AUCCACGCAGAACUUUGAUACACAAGCGAGGACAGUAAUUAAACAAUGACAACUGACACAAAAGAGAAUUAGAAAAGAACUCUGUUUGCACAUCUAACAGCACUCUGCUUCCUGACUGCAACAGCAGCACAUACGUAACCACAACAUCUUGCUGAAACGUUUUUUGUAUCUGUGUGACCUGUGCUAACGGUUCAGUUCUCGUCUCCGUCACCAGUACUCUCUUUUGUUUUGCUAUUUUUUGUUGUUCUAGUCUCUGUGGACUAGACUCUUUAUAUUUGAUAUUCUUUAUUUUUGACUGACUAUUUUGUUGAGGUAGAGAGGGAAGUUUUUGUUACCAGUUAAUAUAGCAUUUUACAACAGCCUUUUGAGGAUUUUGAUAAUUCAUAUCAGAUUUAUUCAUCUUUAAAUAAAAACAGAUUGUAUACUCUACAAUUGAAAUCCAGUUCCUGUAGGACUCUUCUCUGAACACUGACUGCGACAGCCUCACAUCUGAAAGGCAGCAUAUUGUCUCAGCUUCCUCCCGUCCUCACUCCUCCAUCCUCCAGCUGGUGACCCAGAGAUCCAUCGAGGUCCUCCAUCAACCAGGAUGUUCCCCUCACUUUAUAGGUGGAGGAGAGAGGAGCCACAGCUGGAUCCUAUGAGGACGUUUGUUACCCGGCAGAAACACCCCUUCGGUCACCAUCUGCUUAUUGAUUGGUCAGCUGAUUUGAUGGAUAGUAUAUAGUGUAGUAUAAUAUUAAUAUUCCUACAGAAGUAUAAAAGGGACUAACAGCAGGAAUAGAGGCUCUGAACGUCUUCUUUAUUCAUCAAAUGAAAAUGAUUCAAUUUGUGUGUGGAAUCCAAAUCAUAAAUGAAUCCUAAAAACUCUG
Molecule: long non-coding RNA, 869 nt
Organism: Siniperca chuatsi (mandarin fish)
Lineage: Eukaryota; Metazoa; Chordata; Actinopteri; Centrarchiformes; Sinipercidae
Exons: 2
Source: RefSeq, a predicted model, not a curated record